CUAGUUUUUCAUUCAAAUUUAAAUAAUUGUUAAAAUCCCAAUCAGAACCCAUGGCUCACUAAUUCUAGUAGCAAUCUGACGGAUGAUAUCCCAAAGAAGCUUUCUAAUAGUAGGAGUAGGAUUACCAUACAGCAAUAUAAACAUUUAAAGAAGUCCCCUCACCCCAACUGAAGUGCACAAAUUGAGAAUUAGAUUCUAAAGUUUGCAACCGGACAAUAUUCUCAUUUCACAUCACUCAGAUUCCAUCAGAGAAGCCACAAGCCUCUUCUCUAAAGGAAUUAGAGAACCCUAACUUUCUAAUCACAUAUAAUGCUUUAUCUCCACUAAUUCUCAGCUCGAGAAUAAUACAAAUCAAAGAAUUAUAUUGACAAAUGAAUUUGAGCAUAACGACCAAUAAUUUCUUAUUGCCAGCUCCCUAGUAGUUCCAAGCGAACAUAAACAUAAAUAAUGGGGAAAGAAGAGCCCGUCACAAAUAGCUAAUUUAGCUGAACACCUUCAUCAUUAGAUCUUGAUGUAGAAAUCUAAUUUCCACUAAUAGCAACAUGAGCCUCCUCUGUUGAGAUCUUUUGCUUCCGAGGCGCACCCCUCUCAUCAUCUGGGAGUUUAAAUUUCUUACUCACAGAAACAAUCCUACCCCUCUUCUUGUUCGAAUCAAGAGGUCUUAUAGAGCUGAAAAUAAAUAACGAGUCAUUAAACACCAAAAAUAUGUUAGGGGGACCAUUAGUGUUGCUAAAGGACAAAAAGGUGCCAUAAACAAAAGGUUAUAGGCCUGGGUAGAAGAAGCAACCUGAUGAGAUUUAGACAUGAUGGUCAUGGGCUUAGGAGUAAUGCUAGAUGGAUUAGGUAGAGAAGAAGGCUUGAUUUUUAGGCUUAGGUGAUCUUGCUUUUGUCCAAUUGAGCUUAC
This 904-nucleotide long non-coding RNA is filed under the name Ricinus communis (castor bean). RNAcentral's name for it is "long non-coding RNA (RCOM_LNC002988)". Lineage: Eukaryota; Viridiplantae; Streptophyta; Magnoliopsida; Malpighiales; Euphorbiaceae. The record is from RNAcentral.